RNAcentral lists this long non-coding RNA (317 nucleotides) under Physcomitrium patens. RNAcentral describes it as "long non-coding RNA (PPAT_LNC014842)". The record is from RNAcentral. Lineage: Eukaryota; Viridiplantae; Streptophyta; Bryopsida; Funariales; Funariaceae.
UAGGUUAAGAAAUGAAAGGGGGGAGAAUAAGGGUUUCAAGGGUCAGAGAGCUAGCUUCAUGCUUCGGGAGAGGAAAAAAGACAGAGAAUUGGGGUUUUUUUUUCUUCAUAGGGUUUUGGGAAGACUGAGGCAAUCGUUGCUGAAGUCAGUGUUGUAUUGGUAAAUCACGGUUUUAAUGAAGUGGGUGUGGUUACUCUUGACUGUUUUGUGAAAUCAAAGUUACGUCUAUGAUUGAAGAAUUAAAAAGGUGUCUAUAGGAUUGAGUAUGCGGAGUGAAUGAAAAUUUUUGGGUUAAUCUAAUAAGACAGUCAGUGGAU